This 247-nucleotide ribosomal RNA is filed under the name uncultured bacterium. RNAcentral describes it as "partial 16S ribosomal RNA". It matches the Rfam family "Bacterial small subunit ribosomal RNA", at positions 523 to 769 of the family's 1533-position model. The record is from RNAcentral.
AAACGUAGGAGGCAAGCGUUAUCCGGAUUUACUGGGCGUAAAGCGCAUGCAGGUGGUUUUGUAAGUUGGAUGUGAAAGCUCCUGGCUUAACUGGGAGAGGUCGUUCAAAACUACAAGACUUGAGAUUGGUAGAGGAAAAUGGAAUUCCGGGUGUAGUGGUGAAAUGCGUAGAUAUCCGGAGGAACACCAGUGGCGAAAGCGGUUUUCUAGCCUCCUCCCGACGCUGAGGCACGAAAGCAAGGGGAGC